CCUACGGGUGGCAGCAGUGGGGGAUAUUGCACAAUGGGGGGAACCCUGAUGCAGCGACGCCGCGUGGGUGAAGGAGUGCUUCGGCAUGUAAAGCCCUAUCGGCAGGGAAGAAGCAAGACGGUACCUGACUAAGAAGCCCCGGCUAACUACGUGCCAGCAGCCGAGGUAAUACGUAGGGGGCGAGCGUUAUCCGGAUUCACUGGGUGUAAAGGGAGCGUAGACGGCCAUGCAAGCCAGGGGUGAAAGCCCGGGGCCCAACCCCGGGACUGCCCUUGGAACUGGGCGGCUAGAGUGCGGGAGGGGCAGGCGGAAUUCCUGGUGUAGCGGUGAAAUGCGUAGAGAUCAGGAGGAACACCGGCGGCGAAGGCGGCCUGCUGGACCGCGACUGACGUUGAGGCUCGAAAGCGUGGGGAGCGAACAGGAUUAGAUACCCCUGUAGUC
Molecule: ribosomal RNA, 441 nt
Filed under: uncultured bacterium
Lineage: Bacteria
Description: partial 16S ribosomal RNA
Rfam family: Bacterial small subunit ribosomal RNA
Source: RNAcentral